GGGAAUAUUGCCAAUGGGCGAAAGCCUGAUGCAGCCAUGCCGCGUGUGUGAAGAAGGCCUUCGGGUUGUAAAGCACUUUCAGUCAGGAGGAAAGGGUGUGAGUUAAUACCUCAUAUCUGUGACGUUACUGACAGAAGAAGCACCGGCUAACUCCGUGCCAGCAGCCGCGGUAAUACGGAGGGUGCGAGCGUUAAUCGGAAUUACUGGGCGUAAAGCGUACGCAGGCGGUUUGUUAAGCGAGAUGUGAAAGCCCCGGGCUCAACCUGGGAACUGCAUUUCGAACUGGCAAACUAGAGUGUGAUAGAGGGUGGUAGAAUUUCAGGUGUAGCGGUGAAAUGCGUAGAGAUCUGAAGGAAUACCGAUGGCGAAGGCAGCCACCUGGGUCAACACUGACGCUCAUGUACGAAAGCGUGGGGAGCAAACGGGAUUAGAUACCCCGGUAGUCCACGCCGUAAACGAUGUCUACUAGAAGCUCGGAACCUCGGUUCUGUUUUUCAAAGCUAACGCAUUAAGUAGACCGCCUGGGGAGUACCGGCCGCAAGGUUAAAACUCAAAUGAAUUGGCNG
This 566-nucleotide ribosomal RNA is filed under the name Pseudoalteromonas sp. BA1. RNAcentral's name for it is "bacterial SSU rRNA". It matches the Rfam family "Bacterial small subunit ribosomal RNA", at positions 357 to 916 of the family's 1533-position model. The record is from RNAcentral. Lineage: Bacteria; Pseudomonadati; Pseudomonadota; Gammaproteobacteria; Alteromonadales; Pseudoalteromonadaceae.